RNAcentral lists this ribosomal RNA (371 nucleotides) under uncultured bacterium. RNAcentral describes it as "bacterial SSU rRNA". It matches the Rfam family "Bacterial small subunit ribosomal RNA", at positions 527 to 896 of the family's 1533-position model. The record is from RNAcentral.
GUAGGGAGCGAGCGUUACUCGGAAUCACUGGGCGUAAAGGGCGUGUAGGCGGAUGAGCAUGUCUGGUGUGAAAGCCCCGGGCUUAACUCGGGAAUUGCAUCUGAAACUGCUUUGCUUGAGUCCUGGAGGGGGUAGUGGAAUUCCCAGUGUAGCGGUGAAAUGCGUAGAUAUUGGGAGGAACACCGGUGGCGAAGGCGGCUACCUGGACAGUGACUGACGCUGAUGCGCGAAAGCUAGGGGAGCAAACGGGAUUAGAUACCCCGGUAGUCCUAGCCGUAAACGAUGGGCACUUGGUGUCGGGGGUAUUGAGUCCCCCGGUGCCGGAGUUAACACGUUAAGUGCCCCGCCUGGGGAGUACGGUCGCAAGACUG